UUGUCUUUUUUUCCAUUUGUUUCUUCCCUUCCUUCCUUGCCCUAUUUUCUCUGCGGAGGGGAUCGAAGAAAAAGAAACAGAGGAGGGAGAUAGAGAGAGCAAGGAAAAAAAAAACGUGAGUCUUGUCCAUUCCGAGCUCUGCUGCUUAAACUUGGUCUGAGUUGCACUUCAAUUUCUUGCCCGAUUCGGGAUAGUUGGCCUAAGCUCGAUACCUUGUUGUCAUAUUGAUAUACGGAGGAAUAGGUAAUGUACAUAUUUGAGGAAGUUGGGAGCUAGCUAACUAUGGGAGUUGGUGAGGUAGCUGAAGAAUAAUGAUUGUUAUUUAAUUUGUAUCAGCUAGAUAUGGUGAGUGAAUUCACUUAUAUAUAUUGUUGUUGUUAAGUUACUAAAGUUCUAGUAUUGCUAUUUUAGCUUAGAUAAGUUAUUAUAAAUUUUUAUAAAUCAUAUUGUGUAGACAAUGCUAGGAGAUUACGCUUUGCUGCCUUGAGUUUCACGAUGUCGGAUUUCUUAUAUAGAGUAUUAUCUGGUUGUUGCUA
Punica granatum (pomegranate) is the source of this 536-nucleotide non-coding RNA. NCBI's taxonomy places the organism in Eukaryota, Viridiplantae, Streptophyta, Magnoliopsida, Myrtales, Lythraceae. The record is from RefSeq and is a predicted model, not a curated record.